CCCGUAGGGAGCGAGCGUUGUCCGGAUUCAUUGGGCGUAAAGCGCGCGUAGCCGGACGUGCAAGACGGUCGUGAAAUCCCGGGGCUCAACCCCGCGAACCGCGCCCGAUACUGCACGACUGGAGGCAGGUAGGGGAGAUCGGAAUUCCUGGUGUAGCGGUGAAAUGCGCAGAUUUCAGGAAGAACACCGGUGGCGAAGGCGGAUCUCUGGGCCUGUUCUGAAGCUGAGGCGCGAAAGCUAGGGGAGCGAACAGG
This 254-nucleotide ribosomal RNA is filed under the name uncultured bacterium. RNAcentral's name for it is "partial 16S ribosomal RNA". It matches the Rfam family "Bacterial small subunit ribosomal RNA", at positions 524 to 776 of the family's 1533-position model. The record is from RNAcentral.